AAAAUGCGAUACUUGGUGUGAAUUGCAGAAUCCCGUGAACCAUCGAGUUUUGAACGCAAGUUGCGCCCGAAGCCAUCCGGCUGAGGGCACGCCUGCCUGGGCGUCACGCAUCGCGUCGCUCCCCACCAUACCUCCCCAACGGGUUGGCAUGGUGUUGGGGGCGGAUAAUGGCCUCCCGUGCUUGUGUUUCGGUUGGCCUAAAUAAGAGUUCCCUUCGGCGGACACACGACUAGUGGUGGUUGAAUAGACCCUCGUCUUUUGUUGCGUGUCGUGAGCUGUAAGGGUAGCCCUCAUCAAAGACCCCAUUGUAUCGUCUUCGGAUGAUGCUUCGACCGCGACCCCAGGUCAGGCGGGACUACCCGCUGAGUUUAAGC
RNAcentral lists this unclassified non-coding RNA (374 nucleotides) under plant metagenome. RNAcentral's name for it is "partial contains 5.8S ribosomal RNA, internal transcribed spacer 2, and large subunit ribosomal RNA". The stretch from base 1 to 106 matches the Rfam family "5.8S ribosomal RNA", at positions 50 to 154 of the family's 154-position model. The record is from RNAcentral.